CCUACGGGGGGCUGCAGUCGAGAAUCAUUCACAAUGGGGGAAACCCUGAUGGUGCGACGCCGCGUGGGGGAAUGAAGGUCUUCGGAUUGUAAACCCCUGUCAUGUGGGAGCAAAUUAAAAAGAUAGUACCACAAGAGGAAGAGACGUCUAACUCAGUGCCAGCAGCCGCGGUAAUACAGAGGUCUCAAGCGUUGUUCGGAAUCACUGGGCGUAAAGCGUGCGUAGGCUGUUUCGUAAGUCGUGUGUGAAAGGCGCGGGCUCAACCCGCGGACGGCACAUGAUACUGAGAGACUAGAGUGAUGGAGGGGGAAGCGGAAUUCUCGGUGUAGCAGUGAAAUGCGUAGAUAUCGGGAGGAACACUAGUGGCGAAGGCGGGUUCCUGGACAUUAACUGACGCUGAGGCACGAAGGCCAGGGGAGCGAAAGGGAUUAGAUACCCGAGUAGUC
This 446-nucleotide ribosomal RNA is filed under the name uncultured bacterium. RNAcentral's name for it is "partial 16S ribosomal RNA". It matches the Rfam family "Bacterial small subunit ribosomal RNA", at positions 338 to 795 of the family's 1533-position model. The record is from RNAcentral.